GUUUUCCUCUGUUCCGGUGGAUCUGAACCUAUGUCCUAUGCUGAGAUGCUGGUGUCUUGUGCCCCAGCAGCUCUUCCAAGUUCCCAUCUGUGUCUUAGGCCCAGCUACGUUCUGACCUUCCCUAGGUCAGCAGUCAAGAAUGGUGCUGAUGAUACUGGCCAGUGAGUGGGGACCCGUUCUUUCUGAAAAGAUUCCAAAUCUCUCUGCCUUUCCCCCCGCCCCCUCCCCCGCAGGAGCCAGGUGCUACGCCCGGCAGGUGCACGUCCCCAAGGGGCCUCUUUACCGUGUGGCUGGCACCGCUGUCUCUAUCUCCUGCAAUGUGAGUGACUAUGAGGGCCCUUCCCAGCAAGACUUCGAGUGGUUCAUGUACAGACCCGAGGCCCCAGCUACGUCACUAGGCAUCAUCAGCACCAAGGACAG
RNAcentral lists this long non-coding RNA (420 nucleotides) under Rattus norvegicus (Norway rat). RNAcentral describes it as "long non-coding RNA NONRATT008469". Lineage: Eukaryota; Metazoa; Chordata; Mammalia; Rodentia; Muridae. The record is from RNAcentral.